RNAcentral lists this long non-coding RNA (802 nucleotides) under Physcomitrium patens. RNAcentral describes it as "long non-coding RNA (PPAT_LNC007886)". Lineage: Eukaryota; Viridiplantae; Streptophyta; Bryopsida; Funariales; Funariaceae. The record is from RNAcentral.
AUUCAAAAAAAUCUCAAAGAAAUUUCAAACAAAUAAUAAGAAUUCUUAAAGAAAUAUUAGAAGGAUUAUAAAUAUCACUCAAAUACAUCUCAAUUCAAUCUUAAUUUAAUUCUAGUUAAAAUCCUAUUGAACUUCAUUCAAACUUUAGGCCAAAACUAAUUGAAUUUUAAAUCCUAAUAAAAUCCUAAAUCCUAAAUCAAACCCUAAAAAAACCUUAAACCAAACUCCAACUGAAUCCUAAACCAAAUCCUAACCAAAUCCUAAAUCGAAUCCUAACCAAAUCCUAAUCCUAAUCCUAAAUCCUAAACUAAAUCCUAACCAAACCCUAAUCAAAUCCUAAAUCUUAAAUAAAAUCCUAACCAAACCCUAAACCCUAAUCAAAUCCUAAAUCUUAAAUAAAAUCCUAACUAAACCCUAAAUCCUAAAUCAAAUCCUAAUCAAACCUUAAAUCCUAAAUCAAAUCCUAAUCCAAAUCUCAAAUCCUAAACCAAACCCUAAACCCUAAAUAAAAUCCUAACCAAACUCUAAUCCAAAUCCUAAACCCUAAAUCAAAUCCUAAUCAAAUCCUAAAUCCUAAAUCAAAUCCUAAUCUAAAUCCUAAACUCUAAAUCAAACCCUAAUCAAAUCCUAAAUCCUAAAUAAAAUCUUAAUAAAAUCUUAAAUAAAAUCCUAAUCCAAACCCUAAAUCCUAAACCAAACCCUAAUCAAAUCCUAAACCCUAAAUCAAACUCUAAUCCAAAUCCUAAUAAUUCCUACAAUAGAUUUAAACCUUAAUAACUACUGAAUAAAUCGUUGUUCAUAA